GACGAACGCUGGCGGCGUGCUUAACACAUGCAAGUCGAGCGGUAAGGCCCUUUCGGGGGUACACGAGCGGCGAACGGGUGAGUAACACGUGGGUGACCUGCCCUCAGCUCUGGGAUAAGCCUGGGAAACUGGGUCUAAUACUGGAUAUGACUCCACGGUGCAUGUCGUGGGGUGGAAAGCCUUGUGCGGCUGAGGAUGGGCCCGCGGCCUAUCAGCUUGUUGGUGGGGUGANGGCCUACCAAGGCGACGACGGGUAGCCGGCCUGAGAGGGCGACCGGCCACACUGGGACUGAGACACGGGCCCAGACUCCUACGGGAGGCAGCAGUGGGGAAUCUUGCGCAAUGGGCGAAAGCCUGACGCAGCGACGCCGCGUGAGGGAUGACGGCCUCGG
This 392-nucleotide ribosomal RNA is filed under the name uncultured bacterium. RNAcentral's name for it is "bacterial SSU rRNA". It matches the Rfam family "Bacterial small subunit ribosomal RNA", at positions 28 to 420 of the family's 1533-position model. The record is from RNAcentral.